UGGUUCUGGCAUCGAUGAAGAACGCAGCGAAAUGCGAUAAGUAAUGUGAAUUGCAGAAUUCAGUGAAUCAUCGAAUCUUUGAACGCACAUUGCGCCCUUUGGUAUUCCGAAGGGCAUGCCUAUUCGAGCGUCAUUAUCACCCCUCAAGCCCGGCUUGGCCUUGGGCCCGCGUCGUCCCGCGACCGGCCCGAAAGAUAAUGGCGGUGUCGAACGGACCCUCCGGUGCAGCGAGCUUCGGCACGCACCUGUGAAGGCCGUCGGCCCCGGUCGUAUCCUCUUCAAAGGUUGACCUCGGAUUAGGUAGGAAUACCCGCUGA
Molecule: unclassified non-coding RNA, 317 nt
Filed under: uncultured fungus
Lineage: Eukaryota; Fungi
Description: partial contains 5.8S ribosomal RNA and internal transcribed spacer 2
Rfam family: 5.8S ribosomal RNA (bases 1-133)
Source: RNAcentral